GCGUAAGGGCUCGCAGGCGGUUUCUUAAGUCUGAUGUGAAAGCCCCCGGCUCAACCGGGGAGGGUCAUUGGAAACUGGGAAACUUGAGUGCAGAAGAGGAGAGUGGAAUUCCACGUGUAGCGGUGAAAUGCGUAGAGAUGUGGAGGAACACCAGUGGCGAAGGCGACUCUCUGGUCUGUAACUGACGCUGAGGAGCGAAAGCGUGGGGAGCGAACAGGAUUAGAUACCCUGGUAGUCCACGCCGUAAACGAUGAGUGCUAAGUGUUAGGGGGUUUCCGCCCCUUAGUGCUGCAGCUAACGCAUUAAGCACUCCGCCUGGGGAGUACGGUCGCAAGACUGAAACUCAAAGGAAUUGACGGGGGCCCGCACAAGCGGUGGAGCAUGUGGUUUAAUUCGAAGCAACGCGAAGAACCUUACCAGGUCUUGACAUCCUCUGACAACCCUAGAGAUAGGGCUUUCCCUUCGGGGACAGAGUGACAGGUGGUGCAUGGUUGUCGUCAGCUCGUGUCGUGAGAUGUUGGGUUAAGUCCCGCAACGAGCGCAACCCUUGAUCUUAGUUGCCAGCAUUCAGUUGGGCACUCUAAGGUGACUGCCGGUGACAAACCGGAGGAAGGUGGGGAUGACGUCAAAUCAUCAUG
This 638-nucleotide ribosomal RNA is filed under the name Bacillus pumilus. RNAcentral describes it as "bacterial SSU rRNA". It matches the Rfam family "Bacterial small subunit ribosomal RNA", at positions 558 to 1197 of the family's 1533-position model. Lineage: Bacteria; Bacillati; Bacillota; Bacilli; Caryophanales; Bacillaceae. The record is from RNAcentral.